This 807-nucleotide ribosomal RNA is filed under the name Flavobacterium sp. B127. RNAcentral describes it as "bacterial SSU rRNA". It matches the Rfam family "Bacterial small subunit ribosomal RNA", at positions 54 to 869 of the family's 1533-position model. Lineage: Bacteria; Pseudomonadati; Bacteroidota; Flavobacteriia; Flavobacteriales; Flavobacteriaceae. The record is from RNAcentral.
CAUGCAGUCGAGGGGUAGAGCUCUUCGGAGCUUGAGACCGGCGCACGGGUGCGUAACGCGUAUGCAAUCUACCUUUUACAGAGGGAUAGCCCAGAGAAAUUUGGAUUAAUACCUCAUAGCAUAGCAGCUUCGCAUGAAGCCACUAUUAAAGUCACAACGGUAAAAGAUGAGCAUGCGUCCCAUUAGCUAGUUGGUAAGGUAACGGCUUACCAAGGCUACGAUGGGUAGGGGUCCUGAGAGGGAGAUCCCCCACACUGGUACUGAGACACGGACCAGACUCCUACGGGAGGCAGCAGUGAGGAAUAUUGGACAAUGGGCGCAAGCCUGAUCCAGCCAUGCCGCGUGCAGGAUGACGGUCCUAUGGAUUGUAAACUGCUUUUAUACGAGAAGAAACACUACUUCGUGAAGUAGCUUGACGGUAUCGUAAGAAUAAGGAUCGGCUAACUCCGUGCCAGCAGCCGCGGUAAUACGGAGGAUCCAAGCGUUAUCCGGAAUCAUUGGGUUUAAAGGGUCCGUAGGCGGUUUAAUAAGUCAGUGGUGAAAGCCCAUCGCUCAACGGUGGAACGGCCAUUGAUACUGUUAGACUUGAAUUAUUAGGAAGUAACUAGAAUAUGUAGUGUAGCGGUGAAAUGCUUAGAGAUUACAUGGAAUACCAAUUGCGAGGCAGGUUACUACUAAUUGAUUGACGCUGAUGGACGAAAGCGUGGGUAGCGAACAGGAUUAGAUACCCUGGUAGUCCACGCCGUAAACGAUGGAUACUAGCUGUUGGGAGCAAUCUCAGUGGCUAAGCGAAAGUGAUAAGUAUCC